RNAcentral lists this ribosomal RNA (500 nucleotides) under uncultured bacterium. RNAcentral's name for it is "partial 16S ribosomal RNA". It matches the Rfam family "Bacterial small subunit ribosomal RNA", at positions 30 to 523 of the family's 1533-position model. The record is from RNAcentral.
AUUGAACGCUGGCGGCAUGCCUUACACAUGCAAGUCGAACGGUAACGGGUCCUUCGGGAUGCCGACGAGUGGCGAACGGGUGAGUAAUAUAUCGGAACGUGCCCAGUAGUGGGGGAUAACUGCUCGAAAGAGCAGCUAAUACCGCAUACGACCUGAGGGUGAAAGGGGGGGAUCGCAAGACCUCUCGCUAUUGGAGCGGCCGAUAGCAGAUUAGCUAGUUGGUGGGGUAAAGGCCUACCAAGGCAACGAUCUGUAGUUGGUCUGAGACGACGACCAGCCACACUGGGAGUGAGACACGGCCCAGACUGCUAGGGGAGGCAGCAGUGAGGAAUUUUGGACAGUGCGGGCAAGCCUCAUCCAGCAAUGCCGCGUGCAGGAAGAAGGCCUUCGGGUUGUAAACUGCUGUUGUCAGGGAAGAAAUCUUCUGGGGUAAUACCCCGUGAGUAUGACGGUACCUGAAGAAUAAGCACCGGCUAACUACGUGCCAGCCGCCGCGGUAA